Molecule: transfer RNA, 74 nt
Filed under: Bolbitis aliena
Lineage: Eukaryota; Viridiplantae; Streptophyta; Polypodiopsida; Polypodiales; Dryopteridaceae
Also listed under: 1 other name
Description: tRNA-Val
Rfam family: tRNA
About the family: Transfer RNA (tRNA) molecules are approximately 80 nucleotides in length. Their secondary structure includes four short double-helical elements and three loops (D, anti-codon, and T loops).
Source: RNAcentral
AGGGCUAUAGCUCAGCGAUAGAGUGCCUCGUUUAAUGACCGGGAGUGUCUACGGUUCGAAUCCGUAUAGUCCUA